Molecule: unclassified non-coding RNA, 338 nt
Filed under: Roseovarius lutimaris
Lineage: Bacteria; Pseudomonadati; Pseudomonadota; Alphaproteobacteria; Rhodobacterales; Roseobacteraceae
Description: Long range pseudoknot
Source: RNAcentral
ACGCAUGACUAUGACGUCAAAAUGCGCAACGUGGUCAAAUUUCUUGAAAAUGGCGACAAGGUAAAGAUCACCCUGCGCUUUCGUGGCCGCGAGAUGGCCCAUCAGGAUCUGGGCCGCCAGCUUUUGGAACGUAUCGCCGAGGAUAUCAAAACCGUCGGGCGUGUUGAAAACAUGCCCAAGAUGGAAGGCCGCCAGAUGAUCAUGAUCAUCGGCCCCGGCCCGAAAUAGACACCCGGCCCCCUCUCAAAGACGUCAUGACCCCCGGCCCUAUGGUCCGGGGGUUUUGCAUGCCCCCUUGCGCCGCGCGGUCAGUCGCGUAGGAUGCACCGCUCUGACAA